RNAcentral lists this ribosomal RNA (253 nucleotides) under uncultured bacterium. RNAcentral describes it as "partial 16S ribosomal RNA". It matches the Rfam family "Bacterial small subunit ribosomal RNA", at positions 524 to 776 of the family's 1533-position model. The record is from RNAcentral.
GACAGAGGGUGCAAACGUUGUUCGGAAUUACUGGGCGUAAAGCGCGUGUAGGCGGCUUUGCAAGUCGGAUGUGAAAGCCCACGGCUCAACCGUGGAAGUGCAUCCGAAACUGCAUGGCUCGAGUCUCGGAGAGGAAGGUGGAAUGCUUGGUGUAGAGGUGAAAUUCGUAGAUAUCAAGCAGAACACCUGCGGCGAAGGCGGCCUUCUGGACGAUGACUGACGCUGAGACGCGAAAGCGUGGGGAGCAAACAGG